GACGAACGCUGGCGGCGUGCUUAACACAUGCAAGUCGAACGGAAAGGCCCUGCUUUUGUGGGGUGCUCGAGUGGCGAACGGGUGAGUAACACGUGAGUAACCUGCCCUUGACUUUGGGAUAACUUCAGGAAACUGGGGCUAAUACCGGAUAGGAGCUCCUGCUGCAUGGUGGGGGUUGGAAAGUUUCGGCGGUUGGGGAUGGACUCGCGGCUUAUCAGCUUGUUGGUGGGGUAGUGGCUUACCAAGGCUUUGACGGGUAGCCGGCCUGAGAGGGUGACCGGCCAACAUUGGAACUGGGUUACGGCCAGACUCCUACGGGAGGCAGCAGUGGGGAAUAUUGCACAAUGGGCGGAAGCCUGAUGCAGCAACGCCGCGUGCGGGAUGACGGCCUUCGGGUUGUAAACCGCUUUCGCCUGUGACGAAGCGUGAGUGACGGUAAUGGGUAAAGAAGCACCGGCUAACUACGUG
RNAcentral lists this ribosomal RNA (468 nucleotides) under uncultured bacterium. RNAcentral describes it as "partial 16S ribosomal RNA". It matches the Rfam family "Bacterial small subunit ribosomal RNA", at positions 28 to 507 of the family's 1533-position model. The record is from RNAcentral.